UAUACCCAAGUGCAAUGAAGUUCUGGAUGACUUCAAAGAAAAUGCGGAGACCUGUAAGAAGGGCAAGAAUUGCCCUGUAUGCUGUAACCUAACUGGUUGUGUUGGAAUUUCUCCGCAUUUUACACCUACAGAGCAGGUGUAGCCAGUUUAAGCACGGUCUUUAGAGCUCAAUCGCUAUAAAAGAACUGAAAAAACACAGAGAGAGGUGAUGAGGAUGCUACAAAGGAUAGAAUUGUUUCCAUAUGAGGAACAGCUGUAUAGACUGUGUCUUGAAGCCUGGAGAAGAGGUGACAGGGGAGAAUAUAAAAACAGAACCAUGAACAGCAUGGAGGAAGAAGCUGAAGGUUGUUGAUCCUAGAAGUGAAAAGUGACCUUCAAACACUGUGGUUCAGCACUGGGAGCCUGAUCCAAAGUCUGCUGGGGAGAAAGGAAGUUUGAAUGUUCAUUCCCAAGAGGGUUUUGAGAACCUCCAGAGGAAAACUGCUGACAACAAAUGCCUGUUAAUUAAAACCAAAAA
Long non-coding RNA from Passer domesticus (house sparrow), 517 nucleotides. RefSeq lists it as uncharacterized. The record is from RefSeq and is a predicted model, not a curated record. Lineage: Eukaryota; Metazoa; Chordata; Aves; Passeriformes; Passeridae. The transcript has 3 exons.